Molecule: ribosomal RNA, 446 nt
Filed under: uncultured bacterium
Lineage: Bacteria
Description: partial 16S ribosomal RNA
Rfam family: Bacterial small subunit ribosomal RNA
Source: RNAcentral
CCUACGGGUGGCAGCAGUCGAGAAUCAUUCACAAUGGGGGAAACCCUGAUGGUGCGACGCCGCGUGGGGGAAUGAAGGUCUUCGGAUUGUAAACCCCUGUCAUGUGGGAGCAAAUUAAAAAGAUAGUACCACAAGAGGAAGAGACGGCUAACUCUGUGCCAGCAGCCGCGGUAAUACAGAGGUCUCAAGCGUUGUUCGGAAUCACUGGGCGUAAAGCGUGCGUAGGCUGUUGCGUAAGUCGUGUGUGAAAGGGGCGGGCUCAACCCGCGAACGGCACAUGAUACUGCGAGUCUUGAGUAAUGGAGGGGGAACCGGAAUUCGCGGUGUAGCAGUGAAAUGCGUAGAUAUCGAGAGGAACACUGGUGGCGAAGGCGGGUUCCUGGACAUUAACUGACGCUGAGGCACGAAGGCCAGGGGAGCGAAAGGGAUUAGAUACCCCAGUAGUC